GCUGUGUUAAUGGACCAGGUUGUUUACCUCUUCACUGCGUCCUGGGUUUUUGCAGUAAUAAAGGCUCCCACCGUGCUUUUCCCUGGCUCCUCCUGCCUCGGACCAGCCCCAGGGCUUCCGCAGGCGGCUCUGCACGGUGUGGUGUGGUGCGGCAUGCCCCAUCCUCUUGGGAAUUGUGAGUAAUGAACUCUUCUUUCAAGGCUGUCAUCUCCGUGUCUGUUGUCUUACCAGUCCUGAUUAAAACAGAAUCCCAGGCACGUUCUAAAGCAGCAGAGACGGGAGGGAGGGCGUUCCCAACUGUGGGAAUGGCGUGUGCCAACCUGGAGAGGCAAUGGAGGGAAGAUGUUCUGCUUGUGUGGAGCGGGGGCCGCAAAGCACGUGUGGGAACCUGAGGCCGGAACAGGAAAGGCCUGGGCCCCAGGGAAAGGAGCCUGGACUGGUCGGGGCCGGGGGAUGGGGGGGGACCCGGGAGGGAGCGGGGCCUGGGCGAGGCGGUCUGAUUUCCCCGCUGCCCUGUCUAAACUGACCCCUCCCGUGUGCUCCCCCUUGCCUUCCUCUCUUUGCUGUCUCCCUGAUCACUUGACGCUGUCUAACAUACCAUUUCAUCCCAUUUGUUGGUCUUCGUUGCCUUCCUUCUAGAGUGUGAGACCCACCAGGGCAGGGAUGCUCGUCUGCUCUGUCCUCUGCCGAGCCCCCUGUGUCAGAACGGUGCCGCCCACGGUGGGUGCUCAGCAAACACUCGUUAAAUGAACGCACGACAGGUGCUGGACAUCUCACCCUGGCAGCCCCGUGGAUCCCAAAUGCAGGGUGGCCUGGGAGGCGGGGGCGAUGUGGGGUAGAAUCGUGCCCUUGGUCGUGGGGUUGGACAGGCUAUGCUGGGAGGAGACGCCCUGUGAACCCAACUUCAUUGUAGCCGCGUCCAUAGAGCUUUUUUAAAGCAUCGUUGCGCUAACUCCUCUGCGUUCACAGGAUGAGCUCUCAGCUAGGAAAAUCCCAGGCAGGAGUCAACUGGAUGGUGAAAUUUCAGUCUGAGAGAGAAAGCCCUUGGACUUCUUCCUGGAGUUCCCAGCCCCGGGCCGGAGCCUUCCACAGGGUCCCACGGGGGAUUCCAAGACCCCCACUUCCAGAUGGGGAAGGUGCAGCCCAGAGAGGGGCCGCACAGCAAGGAAAGAGGCCUCCUGGAGCCACAGGCAUGGUCCCGAGCCCCCUUCUGCCCCCUCUCCCAGACCUCAGAUUCCUGGCCUCCAAUCCAUCACUGCUGACAGGCUGAGUGACCGCAGGCAGGGCACCACCCUCCCUGCUUGUGCAUUGCCAUCCUGGGGACAAGGACAAGGCAGCUCCAGCUCCUUCCCCAGGUUCCUCGAAGCCUCAAGCAAAAGCAAUCAGCACAGGGCAGCCGUCCUAACAGAGGACAACCAGGCUUGGGAUCAGUCAGAUUUGCCCUGGGCUGCCAGGUAGGGGCUGAGCGACCUCCCUGAGCCUCGGUUUCCUCAUCUGCUAAAGGGGCUAUGAGACCGAUGUGUGUAAAACAGCUAGCACAGUGCCCGACACAGCAGUAAAUAGUGGCCUUAUUGUUAUUGUUAUUUAUGUAUUUAUUUGUAUUAUUACAGGUAGUAUGGUGGACAAGGUCAAAGGCCAGAAAGUGAAAACUCUUGUGAAUAUUUUCCCUCCAGGCCCACUUCUGGCACUGGGCCCACCACCCCCAGAGCCCCUCCCGUCCGCUGUAUCUCCCGAUAAUUUUUUCCAUGAACAGGGUCUGAGAGUUGACUCUAGGAAUCUGGUUUGUGAACAAAAUGGCAUGUUCUCUAAAAGAAAUAUUGCCCUUCGUGGUUCAGAUAAACCUGCUUGGUUCAGUAAUGGGACAGAAGGGAGGGGUGGGUGGCAGAGAAAGAAAAUGUGAGAGAGAGAGAAAGUGACAGAGCGAAGGCUGCAGAGAGACAGAAGAAGUCAAGGCGGGAAAAGGAGCAGAGAGGAAGGAAGAGGUAGAGUGGGCAGCCCAGACGCAAAGACAGAGGGAAAGGAAAGACAGGGAGACAGAGAUGAACCAACAGACCCGAAGCAAGCGAGGGAGGGUGAGGUCAGCACCCUGCAGCAUCCAGUGGGGCCGGUUUGUCCCGGCCGGGUCCCGUGGGCCCCUCUCCCCUAUCAGGGCUGUCAAUCUCUGGCCUGGUGAGUUGAAGGGAAAUGAGCCUUGAACACGUCGUUCUGGGUAGGAACAAACACCCUUGCAGGCAGCCUGCUCUCUGAGGGUGGCAGGGGGUAGGGGGUGGACAAGGAGGGUCUGUCCAAGCCCUAGGGUGGGGCUCUGUGAACCAAGAAUAGUCCCUGUGAGGAGAGCUGGGUCCCCAGCCAGGUCUAGGGCCCAGGGGCGCUCUGUGUCAAAUUCGUGGAGAGUCAGGCCCAGGGUGGGGUGAAGAAUGUGGCCUGGUCGGCUCUGGGUGUGAACCGCCACCGGGAGCAGGCAGGACCAGAUGCAAGGGCAAGGCGACAGCACCCCCAGUCCCCAGGCCCGAUGUGCCCCGGGGCCUCUAGCCUUUUGCCUCGACUCCAGAACAAGACCUUCUUCCCUUCAUGCUCACACAGCAGGGCCAGGGCUGUGUCCACACAGAAUCACCAAAGAAAACAUUUCAGUCCAAAGACAAACAUGAGCGCUUCUCCCGUGAGCAGCGCUGAAGACACUUUGACAAACAGCCUCACAACCCCCGUUCCGCACUCUAUGGCUUUCCAAGGCCUUCCCCGUUGUCUUUGAGUUUCUCGAAGGUUUGCUUUCACAAGUUCCCCUCUGGCUCCAAACCUGCUCCCACUGCAUCAGUUCUGUUUAUGAUCAUCUCCCAUCUUGUUACCUGUGAGAUGCACGAGGACCCUGAGUGGAGGUUCAGCCCACCCCAAACCGAAUGGGAGACAGCUUCAUCCCGCAGCUCCUUUUACCAGAUUCUGCAGAUUCCCAGCCAGUUCGGCACCUCUGUCAAUGGUGUUAAGAAGAUGCCCGGAGCAGCCUGCAGCCAGCGCAAGCCUGCCCCAUCCCAGGCCUCAGUCCUGUCCUCCUCUGUCCUUCCGAUACUGCAGCCGCAUGUCUCUGAACAGGAGCCGCGUGCCUCCCUCACGUGGGGCUCAGGGGCUCUCAGUGCUCUCCGGUUAAGGUCCCGACGCCUCCGCGCCUCCACACGGCCUUCGAAGCCCUUCUGCGAUGAGCGCCUGCCCACUUCUCCAACGCAGGGGCUGCAGCCCAGAGUCCACCUGGACCAUUCCACUUCCCCACUGUGCCCUGACCUUGCAGAACCUGAGGCUGCAGACGCGGUUCCCUUUGCCAGGAGCAUCCUUUUCCAUCUCCUUCACCUGCUUCCUCCCGCUUACAUAGGUGCUACCUCCAGCCCCAGCAUCCCUCCCUGGAUUCCUCACCCGUCCUCCUGCCCCAUCCCUGAGAAUCUUUCCCAUUCAUCCCCAGUGGCUCAGGUGGCAAAGUGCAGCGACCCAGAGCCUGGACCUGGAAGUCCUAGCGGGGCUCCUG
This is a long non-coding RNA of Equus quagga, 3508 nucleotides long. RefSeq lists it as uncharacterized. NCBI's taxonomy places the organism in Eukaryota, Metazoa, Chordata, Mammalia, Perissodactyla, Equidae. The transcript has 3 exons. The record is from RefSeq and is a predicted model, not a curated record.